GUGAAUCAUCAAAUUUUUGAACGCAAAUUGCACUCUCUUCGAAGAGUAUGCCUGUUUGAGGGUCAGCCUCAAAAAAAUCGACAUCGGUGCUGGUUCGCGCUGUCGUUCGUCGGAAAUUGGGUUAUCUUAAAUCUUUGGUUUAAGCGACUUAAUAUUUUCUUUACGAUUCCAUGCGCGUUUCCAAGAUUUAUUUCUUUACACUUUUAAGGUAUCGAUUUUAG
RNAcentral lists this unclassified non-coding RNA (221 nucleotides) under Glomus sp. RNAcentral's name for it is "partial contains 5.8S ribosomal RNA and internal transcribed spacer 2". The stretch from base 1 to 65 matches the Rfam family "5.8S ribosomal RNA", at positions 84 to 154 of the family's 154-position model. The record is from RNAcentral. Lineage: Eukaryota; Fungi; Glomeromycota; Glomeromycetes; Glomerales; Glomeraceae.